Molecule: long non-coding RNA, 1405 nt
Organism: Engraulis encrasicolus (European anchovy)
Lineage: Eukaryota; Metazoa; Chordata; Actinopteri; Clupeiformes; Engraulidae
Exons: 7
Source: RefSeq, a predicted model, not a curated record
UCCUGAUUUGUGUUCAUAGUACGGCCCCCGGAGGAUUUUAUGACCAUGGUAGGAAUUUGAAGUGGCCCCUCGAAUGAAAAAGGUUCCCCACCCCUGCAUUAAACCUUUCUACUAGCCACAGCUUUGCUGUCAGUACAUUUUAUUAUGAUACUAUAAGCUCAGAAAUUAAGUUGAUCAAACAAUUCGAUCUGUGCUAUAAACAUUUAAAUGAACCUACAGAAUAGGCUAUCAAAAUAGAAUCAUCUGAAUGAUCUUUCUUGGACAUACAUUUUGAAGUGACCCUUCGAAUUAAAAAGGUUCCUCAGCUGCUUUUGAGGAAAAACAUCAAUGUGCUUGGCCACUCUGGUUUUUAAAUGGUAUUCUGAACUAAAGCAAGGAUUGUUCAAGGAAGACCGUCUCUGGUUAAAUUAGUUCUACACCAAGCCUUUAGGUGGCAGUAAAACUAAUUUGCACAAUGCGAAUUCCACACACAAGCCACAAAGAAGCCAUCAGCCGCGGUCAACAUCACCUUCCUGAUUGAACAGAACCACGCGCUGUCUGUGUGGUUUACAAGUUUCUUGGCGAUAUGGGGGAAAAGUUCCUCACAUACCAACGGAAAAUGGGCGUCAUAUACAUGCAGUCACACAGGGGUUCCAAGACCCACCGGCGUAAAAUCAAGUCAAAGGCUGCUGUCUCAUAAUAUGGCGAAGACGAGUCACCUGAAGGCCUAACUCGCCAUAGAAGACUGAAAGAAUGUAAGAUUAACUUCUUUGUGACCAAUAUGACUUGCUCAUUGAUACAUUUGCUAUGUCAAUAUGAGGUGCAUGGCAAAGUAUUUAAUUUAUUUGUCUCGCUUCUAGGAGCUGUAGAAACAACAGGGUGUUCUUUUUCAGGGUAUUCUUUUUUAUAGAACUGGACAGGUCAUUUAUUCGUUACCCUUGUUUUUGAAGUGUCCUGCAGGAUGCUGUGUCCUGCAAUCCUGUGUGCUGUGCUACAGACGCAUGUGGAGGUCAACCCAAAAUGGGCACAGUCUCACCGCAGAAGAGUGAAAGAGGAUCCUGGCAGGGAGACGGUAGUGUCCUGCAGAAUGGAACUAUAGAAACAACAGUGCCUGCUGCAGUAUAAUGAGGACACCCUGAGCAGAGAGCUCCAAUAGACCCAGGUCCAGUGUCUUGGCAGGGUGAAAUGGCACUGAUAUGGUGUCCUGCAGGAUGCUGUGUCCUGCAAUCCUGUGUGCUGUGCUACAGACGCGUGUGGAGGUCAACCCAAAAUGGGCACAGUCUCACCACAGAAGAGUGAAAGAGGCUCCCAGAAGUGAGACUGAGUGCCUGUUGCAGUAUGACGAGGACGCAGUGACCAGAGACCUUCAGUAGACCCUGGCUGAAGAACAUGAAAUCAACUGCAAUGUUUAUAAUGUUGUACAUAC